Helianthus annuus (common sunflower) is the source of this 789-nucleotide long non-coding RNA. RefSeq lists it as uncharacterized. NCBI's taxonomy places the organism in Eukaryota, Viridiplantae, Streptophyta, Magnoliopsida, Asterales, Asteraceae. The record is from RefSeq and is a predicted model, not a curated record. The transcript has 3 exons.
CUUUCCUUAAUAUCUCCAUUCGCAAAUCACCCUACUAAAUAGCCAGAAUUUUCUUUAACAUCCCCACAUCCCUUUCUUUGUUAACAGAUUUAUAAAUCAAAACCAACCCACCAGUUAGUUAUUAUCUCAUCUACGUCUUACGUGAUAGUUUAACUUCUGUUCACUCGAUUCAAUAUCUAAGGCAUACGUAUAUAAUCACUCGAAAGCAUAAAGGACUUGAUCUACAUUUUACUUACUAUAUUACUUAAAAUUGAUUGAUUGAGUCACAAAAAGAAUAAGAUGAACCAAAAGAUAAUAACCUUGAAGAGUGAAGAUUUGAUCAAGACGAGUGGGGGUUUUAGAUUUAGUUCUUUUGGUUUUUUUACUAGGAAUUCAAGGUGGAGGUCGAAGCCGAUCAAGACGAAAAAAGAUUGGCCGAAGAAGUCUAAAUACAUGGAGUUUGGGUAAAAACGGGGUUCUAAUGCAACAAUGUCUAUUACUUUAAUGAAAAUGUAAUAACCAAGUAGAAGUCCCAUGUCAAAGGUAACAACAAGAUUUUAAUUUUUUUGUUAUGGCCAUUUGUAUGAUUAUCUACAGUAGUCUAAUCCGAAAUUGAAAGAUUCAUAGCAACUACAUUGGUUAUGAAACACCAGAACAAUUGAUAGCCCUAAAAAAAGUUUAGUAUGUUCAAUGUGCAACACGAGGAAUGUAAAUGUAACUUCAUUGUAGAUAUGAUAAACAAACCAACUUUGAUGGAGUUGUGUGGAUCUUGCUAAUUUUUUUGAUUUAGUGGCUGAUUCAUUUGUAUGU